GAACGGGUGAGUAAUACAUAAGUAACCUGCCCUAGACAGGGGGAUAACUGCUGGAAACGGCAGCUAAGACCGCAUAGGUAUGGACACUGCAUGGUGACCAUAUUAAAAGUGCCAAGGCACUGGUAGAGGAUGGACUUAUGGCGCAUUAGCUGGUUGGUGAGGUAACGGCUCACCAAGGCGACGAUGCGUAGCCGACCUGAGAGGGUGACCGGCCACACUGGGACUGAGACACGGCCCAGACUCCUACGGGAGGCAGCAGUAGGGAAUUUUCGGCAAUGGGGGGAACCCUGACCGAGCAACGCCGCGUGAAGGAAGAAGGAAUUCGUUCUGUAAACUUCUGUUAUAAAGGAAGAACGGCGGAUAUAGGGAAUGAUAUCCGAGUGACGGUACUUUAUGAGAAAGCCACGGCUAACUACGUGCCAGCAGCCGCGGUAAUACGUAGGUGGCGAGCGUUAUCCGGAAUUAUUGGGCGUAAAGAGGGAGCAGGCGGCGGCAGAGGUCUGUGGUGAAAGACUGAAGCUUAACUUCAGUAAGCCAUAGAAACCGGGCUGCUAGAGUGCAGGAGAGGAUCGUGGAAUUCCAUGUGUAGCGGUGAAAUGCGUAGAUAUAUGGAGGAACACCAGUGGCGAAGGCGACGGUCUGGCCUGUAACUGACGCUCAUUCCCGAAAGCGUGGGGAGCAAAUAGGAUUAGAUACCCUAGUAGUCCACGCCGUANACGAUGAGUACUAAGU
Molecule: ribosomal RNA, 732 nt
Filed under: uncultured bacterium
Lineage: Bacteria
Description: bacterial SSU rRNA
Rfam family: Bacterial small subunit ribosomal RNA
Source: RNAcentral